UACGUAGGGACCGAGCGUUGUCCGGAAUCAUUGGGCGUAAAGAGCGUGUAGGCGGCCACUUAAGUCCUGCGUGAAAUCUUGCGGCUCAACCGCAAGCGGUCGUGGGAAACUGGGUGGCUAGAGUGCGGGAGAGGAGAGUGGAAUUCCUGGUGUAGCGGUGAAAUGCGCAGAUAUCAGGAGGAACACCAAUUGCGAAGGCAGCUCGCUGGGACGUUACUGACGCUGAGACGCGAAAGCGUGGGGAGCAAACAGG
RNAcentral lists this ribosomal RNA (253 nucleotides) under uncultured bacterium. Its description in RNAcentral is "partial 16S ribosomal RNA". It matches the Rfam family "Bacterial small subunit ribosomal RNA", at positions 524 to 776 of the family's 1533-position model. The record is from RNAcentral.